This 1819-nucleotide ribosomal RNA is filed under the name Lecithaster sudzuhensis. RNAcentral's name for it is "SSU rRNA". It matches the Rfam family "Eukaryotic small subunit ribosomal RNA". The record is from RNAcentral. Lineage: Eukaryota; Metazoa; Platyhelminthes; Trematoda; Azygiida; Lecithasteridae.
CGCGAAUGGCUCAUUAAAUCAGCUAUUGUUCAUUGGAUCGUAAAAAGCUACAUGGAUAACUGUAGUAAUUCUAGAGCUAAUACAUGCCUCAAAUGCCCUAUGCCGUAAGGCAGUGGGUGGUUUUAUUAGAACAAAACUAAUUACAUUGGCUUCGGCCUUUGUUAAUGGUGAUGACUCUGGAUAACUUUACUGAUCGCCUUUGGCGACGGAUCCUUCAAGUGGCUGCCCUAUCAAUUGUCGAUGGUAGGCGACCUGCCUACCAUGGUUUUAACGGGUAACGGGGAAUCAGGGUUCGAUUCCGGAGAGGGAGCCUGAGAAAUGGCUACCACAUCCAAGGAAGGCAGCAGGCGCGCAACUUACCCAAUUCCCGAUCGGAGAGGUAGUGACGAAAAAUACAGAGGCGGGACCUUUUAUAGGCCUCCGACAUCUGAAUGAGUAAAUUUUAAAUCCUUUAACGAGGAACAACUGGAGGGCAAGUCUGGUGCCAGCAGCCGCGGUAACUCCAGCUCCAGAAGCGUAUAUUAAAGUUGUUGCAGUUAAAAAGCUCGUAGUUGGAUCUGGGUGUCAUGGCUAUUCUCUGUUGUUUGCUUCUUUCAACAAAAUGUUGGCGUUGCUUCUCAGUUGAUUAGUCGUGUUACCUUUCUGCCGUGUCUAUUCGAAUGAAUGGGUGCCGGUUUCGGCUGGCAUGCUUGCGGUUGAUAUUUAUUUAUCGGCCGGAGUGGACGGCAAGUUUACUUUGAACAAAUUUGAGUGCUCAAAGCGGGCCAUAGUGCCUGAAAAGUCUUGCAUGGAAUAAUGGAAUAGGACUUCGGUUCUAUUUUGUUGGUUUUCGGAUCCGGAGUAAUGGUUAAGAGGGACAAACGGGGGCAUUUGUAUGGCGGCGUUAGAGGUGAAAUUCUUGGAUCGUCGCCAGACAAACUAAAGCGAAAGCAUUUGCCAAGGAUGUUUUCAUUAAUCAGGAGCGAAAGUCAGAGGAUCGAAGACGAUCAGAUACCGUCCUAGUUCUGACCAUAAACGAUGCCAACUGACGAUCCGCGUUAAGCCAUUGCGGCUUCGCGGGCAGUCCCCGGGAAACCUUUAAGUCUUUGGGCUCCGGGGGAAGUAUGGUUGCAAAGCUGAAACUUAAAGGAAUUGACGGAAGGGCACCACCAGGAGUGGAGCCUGCGGCUUAAUUCGACUCAACACGGGAAAACUCACCCGGUCCGGACACUGGAAGGAUUGACAGAUUGAUAGCUCUUUCAUGAUUCGGUGGUUGGUGGUGCAUGGCCGUUCUUAGUUGGUGGAGCGAUUUGUCUGGUUAAUUCCGAUAACGAACGAGACUUUAACCUGCUAAAUAGUGUGCUCGUCUUCUGUGCUUGUGGUGUGGCCAAUAUGUCGCGAUCCACUAGGGUCACGGCGUUUGGUUUACUCGCUUGUGCGGUGCGGGUUUCACUUCUUAGAGGGACACACGGUGAUAGCCGUAUGAAGUUGAGCAAUAACAGGUCUGUGAUGCCCUCAGAUGUCCGGGGCCGCACGUGCGCUACAAUGACGGUUUCAGCGAGUAUCAUAACCUGGCCUGAGAAGGUUGGGUAAACUGUGUCAUAACCGUCGUGACUGGGAUCGGGGCUUGCAAUUAUUCCCCGUGAACUAGGAAUUCCUGGUAAAUGCGAGUCAUUACCUCGCGUUGAUUACGUCCCUGCCCUUUGUACACACCGCCCGUCGCUACUACCGAUUGAGUGAUUUAGCAAGGUCGUCGGAUUGAUUCGAUUGGUGGUGAAAGCCUCACGAUUGACAUCGAGAAGACGUCCGAACUUGAUCAUUUAGAGGAAGUAAAAGUCGU